This 492-nucleotide ribosomal RNA is filed under the name uncultured bacterium. Its description in RNAcentral is "bacterial SSU rRNA". It matches the Rfam family "Bacterial small subunit ribosomal RNA", at positions 28 to 529 of the family's 1533-position model. The record is from RNAcentral.
GACGAACGCUGGCGGCGUGCUUAACACAUGCAAGUCGAACGGUGACGAGGAGCUUGCUCCUCCGAUCAGUGGCGAACGGGUGAGUAACACGUGAGCAACCUGCCCCAGACUCUGGGAUAACAGUUGGAAACAGCUGCUAAUACCGGAUACGAGACGGAGAGGCAUCUCUACCGUCUGGAAAGUUUUUCGGUCUGGGAUGGACUCGCGGCCUAUCAGCUUGUUGGUGAGGUAAUGGCUCACCAAGGCGACGACGGGUAGCCGGCCUGAGAGGGCGACCGGCCACACUGGGACUGAGACACGGCCCAGACUCCUACGGGAGGCAGCAGUGGGGAAUAUUGCACAAUGGGCGAAAGCCUGAUGCAGCGACGCCGCGUGAGGGAUGACGGCCUUCGGGUUGUAAACCGUCUUUCUAGCAGGGAAGAAGCGAAAGUGACGGUACCUGCAGAAGAAGCACCGGCUAACUACGUGCCAGCAGCCGCGGUAAUAGUACUA